CCGUGAGCCAAAUUUUUGUACCUUUAUUGUACCUUCAUAUUCAAUUAUAAUAUAAGCCAUUUUAUUUGCGGUUUCCAAGUUUUACUCAUUUUAUAUUUUGCUUGCUAUUACAAUUUCGCAGGCGUAAUCAUUUUUCAAGUUAUCGAUCUCAUUUUUAAGAAAAAACGCUAAGGUACAAUUAUUUUUAUUACGCCAGGAAUUAGUACCUUUAAUGUUUUCGAAUAUCAUUUUUUUCUAAACUGAAUAGUUUGCGCGAGAGACACUUCCAAAUUGGAAAAAUGUGUGCCCCCCUGUAACUUCUAAAAUAACAGAAUGAAAAAUCUAAAAACAAUAUAUGACACACAUUAUAGUCACAUUACCAUGCAAACUUCCACCGAAAAUUGGUUUGAUCGAGAUCUAGUAAGUAGUUUUUUUUUAAUACGUCAUAAAUGGUACGGAACCCUUCAUGGGCGAGUCCGACUCGCACUUGGCCGCUUUUUGAUGAUAACUUUAUGUACCGUGAGGUACAAUUUUUUCUAACGGUGGUAGUAUAUAGUACAAAUUAGGUACAAAAAUAUGGUAUGCUUUUCAUUUAUUUUUAUUUAGCUACACCCGCCAUUCUGACUCACCUUUAUUAGGCUAUGAUCCCGUGGUUAUUGAUAAAUUCUAUAAAAGUCAAUUUUUUGUACGUUCAAAUUCAAUUAUAAUAUGAGCUAUUUUA
This is a long non-coding RNA of Cydia pomonella (codling moth), 700 nucleotides long. RefSeq lists it as uncharacterized. The record is from RefSeq and is a predicted model, not a curated record. The transcript has 2 exons. Lineage: Eukaryota; Metazoa; Arthropoda; Insecta; Lepidoptera; Tortricidae.